CCCACACCAAUGUGUGCAGGACUCCAAAGGAUCACCAUUAAAUUUGGCACAGAUCUCUGUAAAAGUUAUCACAUGGGUGUGAGACUUGACUUUUUUAGAUAUCUGUAUCAAAUUUAAUGGUGAUCUUUUGGGGUCCUACACACGUGGGUAUGGG
This 154-nucleotide microRNA precursor is filed under the name Amborella trichopoda. RNAcentral's name for it is "MIR8565 microRNA precursor family". It matches the Rfam family "MIR8565 microRNA precursor family". The record is from Rfam by way of RNAcentral. Lineage: Eukaryota; Viridiplantae; Streptophyta; Magnoliopsida; Amborellales; Amborellaceae.